Molecule: ribosomal RNA, 332 nt
Filed under: uncultured bacterium
Lineage: Bacteria
Description: bacterial SSU rRNA
Rfam family: Bacterial small subunit ribosomal RNA
Source: RNAcentral
CGCGUAGGCGGGAUGGCAAGUCGGUCGUGAAAUCCCUCGGCUCAACUGAGGGGCGUCGAUCGAUACUGCCGUUCUUGAGGAUUGCAGAGGAGACUGGAAUUCCCGGUGUAGCGGUGAAAUGUGUAGAGAUCGGGAGGAACACCGGUGGCGAAGGCGGGUCUCUGGGCAAUUCCUGACGCUGAGGCGCGAAAGCGUGGGGAGCAAACGGGAUUAGAUACCCCGGUAGUCCACGCUGUAAACGAUGACGACUAGGUGUGGGGGGGUUCAGUCCCUUCCGUGCCGCAGCUAACGCAUUAAGUCGUCCGCCUGGGGAGUACGGCCGCAAGGUUGAA